AUAUACAUAUAAGUAAGUAAAUAAUAGAUUUGAAAUAAUUAUAAAAUAGAAUUAACGAGAUAAUCAUGGAUUAUACAAUAUCAUUAUAAAUGAUAAAGUUAUUAAUAGAUAUAGGUUACUAAUUAAUUAAAUAAUAAAUUAUAAAACCUAAGGGAAACCUAAUUUAAAAAUAUACUAAGUGAACUGAAACAUCUAAGUAACUUAAGGAUAAGAAAUCAACAGAGAUAUUAUAAGUAUUGGUGAGAGAAAGUAAUAUAUAGUUCUUCCCGUUUUAUACGGGAAGGAACGAAAGUCAAUAAAGUAUUAUGUAUAAUAAAUAUAAGAACAUAACAUUUAUUAUAAUAAAAUAUAAUAAAUAAUAAGGAUUAACAAAUUCUAAGACUAAAUACUAUUAAUAAAUAUAAAGAGUACCGUAAGGGAAAAUAUGAAAUGGUUAUUUUAUAAGCAAUCAUAUCAUUUUAAAUAAAUGAAAUGAUGUACCUUUUGUAUAAUGGGUCAGCAAGUUAUUAAUAAUUGCAAAAUAAAUACAUUAUAUAUAAAUAAAAUUAAAAUGUUAAUAAAUAAAUUAAUUAAAAUGUAAGAGUAUUAUCCGAGCUUCAGGCAUGGAAAGGUAACCUUACUAGGCGAGAGUAAAUAUUAAUAGACCCGAAAGCAGAUGAUCUUACCUUGAUAAGAUGAAUAACGAUCGAACAAGUUGAUGUAGCAAAAUCAUUUGAAUAAUUGAGGUAAGUAAGUGAAAGACAAAUCUGAUCUGCAGAUAGCUGGUUUUCUAUGAAAUAUAUGUAAGUAUAGCCUUUAUAUAAAUAUAAUAUUUUAUUAAUAAAUUAAUAAAAGGAUGGUAUAGCAAUUAAUAUAUUUUCGUAAAUCGAAAAGUUCCCCUGCUUCCGCAGGAAGCUGCGGGGACCCCAGGAGGGAGUAUUAAAUCUCAAAAUAUUAUAUUAUAUGAAUAUAAAGAGUCAGAUUAUGUGCGAUAAGGUAAAUAAUCUAAAGGGAAACAGCCCAGAUUAAGAUAUAAAGUUCCAAAUUAAUAUUAAGUGAAAAUAAUAUUAAAAUAUUAAAAUAUAAUCAGUUAAUGGGUUUGACAAUAACCAUUUUUUAAUGAACAUGUAACAAUGCACUGAUAAAUAAUUAAUGAUAUUUAAAAUCAUAUAUAUAAUAAUAUAUAUAUAUGUUAAUAAAUAAUAUACGGAUCUAAUAAAAAUAUUAAACUGAAUAUCUAAAUAUUAUAUAUAAUAAGUAUAAUAUGGUAAUAGAACAUUUAAUGAAGAGAUAUAUUAAUUAAUAAUUAAUAUAUAUUAUAAUAAUUAAAUAGAGAAUGCUGACAUGAGUAACGUUAAAAAAGUAUAAACUUUUUCACCUAAAGCAUAAGGUUUUACUAUAAAAGUACGGCCCCUAAUAUAGAAAUAUCUAAAGAUAUAUAUAGAUGGGAUAAUCUAAUUUAAUAAUUAAAAAUCAAAUAAAUAUAUAUAUUAAAUAUAUAUUAAAUUGAUCAGGAAAAGUAAUUAAAUAAUACCGUAAUGAAGACCGACUCAGGUAUGUUAGUAGAGAAUAUGAAGGUGUAUUGGAUAAUUAAGGAUAAGGAACUCGGCAAAAAUAGAUCUAAAAUUAGAGAGGAUUAAUAAGAACAAGGUUGUACAACUGUUUAAUAAAAACACAGCACUUUGCAGAAAUGAUAAAUUAAAGUAUAAGGUGUGAACUCUGCUCCAUGUUCAUUAUAUAAAUAAUAAAUUUGAAAGAAUAUAUUAAUAAAUAUGAAUAAAUAGCAGCCUUAUUAUGAGGGUUAUAAUGUAGCGAAAUACCUUGGCCACUAAAUAUGGUCCCGCAUGAAUGACGUAAUGAUACAACAACUGUCUCAUCCUUAAGCCAAGUGAAAUUGAAAUGGUAGUGAAGAUGCUAUCUAGGUAUAGUUAGACAAAAAGACCCUAUGCAGCUUUACUAUAGUUAGAUAACUUGAUUAAUUAUUAAUUAUAUUCAGAAUAUUAAGUAAUUGAUUAAAUAUAAUAUGAGAUACUUAUUUUAAUUAUAUAAUUAUUCUUAUCCAUAUAAAUAAUUAUUUAUAUAAUAAUAUAUAAAUAUAAUGGAGACAGGUUCUAAUUGGUAGUUUGAAUGGGAUGUUCUUUUCAGCAAAUUUAUCUGAUAAAGUCCAUAUAUAAUAAAUUAAUAAAAUAAAUUAAAAUAUAUAUUAUAUAUAUUAAAUAUAAAAAUAUUAAUCUUAAAAAUUAAUAAAUAAUAGAUUAAAUAAUGUAUAGUUAAAUUAUCAAGAAAAUAAUAAUAAUAAUCAAUUUAAAGAUUAUAAUAAAUAAAUAUAAUAGUAUAACUAUGCUAUAAUUGUAAUACAAACAAGUAAAACAAGUACGUAAGUAUGGUAUAAUGAACAAAUAAUACUGAUUGUAAGGAUUAUUGAUAACGAAUAAAAGUUACGCUAGGGAUAACAGGGUAAUAUAACGAAAGAGUAGAAAUUGUAAGUUAUGUUUGCCACCUCGAUGUCGACUCAACCUAUCCUCUUGGUUGUAACAGCUAAGAAGGGUUUGACUGUUCGUCAAUUAAAAGGUUACGUGAGUUGGGUUAAAUACGAUGUGAAUCAGUAUGGUUUUUAUCUACUAUAUCUAAUAUUAUCAAAUUAAAUCUCAUUAUUAGUACGCAAGGAUCAUAAUGAAUUAACCUAUGGUGUAAUUAUUAAUUAUUAAUAUAAUUAUAUUAAUUGUUAUUGUAAUUAAGCUAAGUUAAUAAAUAAUAAAUAUUGAAUACAUAUUAAAUAUGAAGUAGUUUUAAUUAGAUAAAUAUAUUGAUCAUUUUAUACUAAAAUGAAUUUAGUAUUUGGUUAUAUCUUAACCAUCCUCCAUUUGGAGAUAACUAAUUAAUCAAUAAUCUAUUUUAUAUCUAAUCUAUUAUUUACUACUC
RNAcentral lists this ribosomal RNA (2901 nucleotides) under Monosporozyma unispora. RNAcentral's name for it is "Kazachstania unispora large subunit ribosomal RNA". It matches the Rfam family "Bacterial large subunit ribosomal RNA". Lineage: Eukaryota; Fungi; Ascomycota; Saccharomycetes; Saccharomycetales; Saccharomycetaceae. The record is from RNAcentral.